GGGGUCUUAACUCAGUGGUAGAGUGCUCGCCUCGUGUGUGGGAGGCACUGGGUUUGAUCCUCAGUACCACA
This 71-nucleotide transfer RNA is filed under the name Marmota monax (woodchuck). RNAcentral's name for it is "tRNA.Thr". Lineage: Eukaryota; Metazoa; Chordata; Mammalia; Rodentia; Sciuridae. The record is from RNAcentral.